Molecule: long non-coding RNA, 327 nt
Filed under: Androctonus crassicauda
Lineage: Eukaryota; Metazoa; Arthropoda; Arachnida; Scorpiones; Buthidae
Source: RNAcentral
AAUGGCUGAAACUAUUGAUGAAAUCAAGAUGUAAAUGAUCAAAACCAGUUUUCUUUAAAAUAAUGAUCAUUUAAACUACUGUCACUGGGAUGUCUUUGCCCUCUGGAGUCUUUUGCCCAGAUUUUGUAAAGAGAAUUCACCAGAUUGAAGAAGCUAGACAAAUUGUUGCUAGAUGUGCCCAGAGCAUUUUAUUAAACUUUCUAAGAUGUAAUGUUGGCAACAUUGAUGUUUUGGCUCCACAGGUAUAUGUUAUCACUUCAAACGUGAUACUUUUUGAUGAUAACUCCAAGUGACUGAAUUUGUUUAUGUUGAAACUUUUGUUUGUGC